This 678-nucleotide ribosomal RNA is filed under the name uncultured fungus. Its description in RNAcentral is "SSU rRNA". It matches the Rfam family "Eukaryotic small subunit ribosomal RNA", at positions 416 to 1097 of the family's 1831-position model. Lineage: Eukaryota; Fungi. The record is from RNAcentral.
CCAAGGAAGGCAGCAGGCGCGCAAAUUACCCAAUCCCGACACGGGGAGGUAGUGACAAUAAAUAACAAUAUAGGGCUCUUUUGGGUCUUAUAAUUGGAAUGAGUACAAUUUAAAUCCCUUAACGAGGAACAAUUGGAGGGCAAGUCUGGUGCCAGCAGCCGCGGUAAUUCCAGCUCCAAUAGCGUAUAUUAAAGUUGUUGCAGUUAAAAAGCUCGUAGUUGAACUUCAGACCUGGCUGGGCGGUCCGCUUAACGGCGUGUACUGUCUGGCUGGGCCUUACCUCUUGGUGAGCCGGCGUGCCCUUUAUUGGUGUGCGUCGGGGAACCAGGACUUUUACCUUGAGAAAAUUAGAGUGUUCAAAGCAGGCCUAUGCCCGAAUACAUUAGCAUGGAAUAAUAAAAUAGGACGUGCGGUUCUAUUUUGUUGGUUUCUAGAGUCGCCGUAAUGAUUAAUAGGGAUAGUUGGGGGCAUUGGUAUUGAGUCGCUAGAGGUGAAAUUCUUGGAUUGACUCAAGACCGACUAUUGCGAAAGCAUUUGCCAAGGAUGUUUUCAUUAAUCAAGAACGAAGGUUAGGGGAUCGAAAACGAUCAGAUACCGUUGUAGUCUUAACAGUAAACUAUGCCGACUAGGGAUCGGGCAAUUUCAAUUUUCAUGUAUUGCUCGGCACCUUACGAGAAA